Non-coding RNA from Potamilus streckersoni, 78 nucleotides. The record is from the annotation of a GenBank genome assembly. NCBI's taxonomy places the organism in Eukaryota, Metazoa, Mollusca, Bivalvia, Unionida, Unionidae.
GCUCCUGUGGCCUAGUAGGUAGAGCGUCCGCCCCGGAUGCGGAAGGUCGUGGGUUCGAUUCCCGGUCAAGAUAUAACA